GACAGCUUGAAAAAGCACUGGAAUUUGUAGCAGGAUCGGACAGUUUAUGAACCUGAGAAAUAGGAACUGGCUCUGUAGUUCUGUUUAUCUAGAAUUCGAAGAAUGGAUUGUACUGGCUAUUGGAACGAGGUUCCCAGAGCUGACCUGGAUUUUCAACUUGCAAAGAAUCAGAAAUCAAUGAGGGAGAACUAAAUGCUAAUACCAUACUGAACGGAGCUGAAUCUCUUCAUCAAUCGAUAAAGAUGUUGUGUUACCAAAUUAUGUAGACUUUCUGGGUCACUGGUGUGUAUACCAAUUCCUCUACACGAGACCAAAAGGAGAGUACCUGAGAAGAAGCUCUGGCAGAGCAUUUCUAGGAUAGCCAGGCUUAACCACAGCUUUCUCACCUAUGCUCUGGUCUCCCGAGGUUAUCUGUUAAGUAUCAAAAGUGUUGUCUACUUUCAAAGACGGUGCUGAUAUCGAAGGCUGAUGAAGAUUGAGAGUCGUGCCUCCCAUCAGUAUUUUGAGGGCAUCCAUGGCUGCCGGUAGAUGUACCUUACUUGAAGUGGAGCAUUUUGUGGGAAGUUGUGGUAAAUCUAGCACUGCAUCAGUGAGCCAGCUGCCAACGAGAAUAGGAGUCUGACACCCUCACCCUGUUCACCACCUCCUCUCCACCUGCUCUCUUUCUAAAUUAUUUCCGGUAUCCUUGGGGCGAAUCUCAAUUUCAGCCCCCAGACCUGAUGCUUGAUAGUCUCCUCCCAGAAGGGACUUUUUGCUAGCCUUGACUAUGACUCACAUUUGCCUCUUGGAUUAUUUCUGCUCUCUCUGCUCCAGGUAAACACUUUACCUGAUCCAGAAACGAAAGCAAAGUUGGAGGAGGGGAGAAACAUGGAAAAAGACAUUGUAGCUAACGUGGAGGUUCUGACGACCCAGGCAAGUGACACAGAUUCAGCUGCAGCAGCCACAGGAGCCCCGCCUACAGUCCAGACUCCACUUGAAGAUGCUACUCUCGCUGCAAGCAGUGGGGCAAAUGUGGGGCAGAAAAGCAUGGGUCAAAGAGAGAAUGACGAGAUGGAAAAAAUGUCUGUUCUUAGUUUGUAUCCCAGUGCAGAGGCUGAUGCCCCACGCCCACAUGCUGCUCCUGUUCUUCAUGCAUGGCAGGGGGCUGACAGGCAGGGAAACGUAGGGAAGAAAAACAGCCGUAAAAGGAGGAAUAGAAAGGAAAAUAAGAUUGUGUAUUUUCCUUGGUCUCUGACACUACAGACUCAGGCAUCAUCUGCAGCCCCAGUUCUGGGUCAGACUUGUGUCACAGGGGCUUUGUCAGUUGCUGAUACUGGUAUGGAUGUGGGACAUGAAACCAGGCAGCAAAGGAGGAAUGGUGAGAAGGAAAAGGCAUCAGUUCUCACUCAGCCUUGGAAGGCACCAGCUAGCGCUCUGUUGCCAGAAGCAAGUACAGUUCAGCCCUCUCUUGAGGGGGCCUCUCUGGCAGACAGUGGGGAGACAAUGGUAGAGCAGAAAAGCAGGCAUAAGGGGAUAGAUAAAAACAGAAAGAUCCUGGCUAGACCUUGGCCUUUGACAGUACAGGCUUGGGUGUCUUUCAAAGGCCGAACUCAGGUACAGAAGGCUUUUGCAGGGGCUUCACAAUUCGCUAAUGAUGACGUCAAUGGGGAACCUAGAAGCAGGGGUCAAAAGAGUGAGAUCGAUAAAACAUCAGUUGUUACUUCGUAUCAAAGCGCACAGGCUGGUACCCCGCGCUCAGCUGUGGUUCUGGGGCAGGCUUCAUUGGAGGAAGCACCCCUCACUAACAGUGGGGGAAACUUAGAGAAGAAAAGCAGACAGAAGAAGAGGAAUAUAAGGAACAAAAGUGUCUUGGCUCAUCCUUGGCCUCUGACAGUACAAGCUUGGGCAUCAUUCACAGCCAGAGAUCCAGUUCCGAGCAAGUCUUCUGCUGCAAGUAUGGGGGUGAAUGUGGGGCAGAAAAUCUGGCCUCAACGGGAGAAUAGUGAGGAAAAAACAAAGUCCAUUCUUCCUCAGCCUGUGGGGGGCCAGGCUGGUAUCCCCUUCUCAGCAACAGCUCCAGGACAGGCUCCACUUGAGGAGUCUCCUUCUCUGGAAGAUGUACAUUCCAACCUGAGCUGAACGAGGAGGAGGCCCAAGGGGAGAGAUGAGGAACAAGUGAAGAGCAAUGCAGAGCCAAUCUUGGAACCCAUCAGAGUUGGACUGACCCAGAGGGGUAGCCAGGGGGAUCAGGACUUCCGGGAAUGAACUGUGAUGAAUUUUGCUAAGCAAGUCAACUGUUGUUAUUGUGGAAAGCUCUGCUCACAGAGAGGAGGAAGGCUUUGACCCUGACCAAAACCCACACCCACACUGGUAUUUCGGUAAUGGGAAUGUAGGGACCAGAGAGGGAAGAGGCUGAAUCUCAGACAGUCUGGUUGGGGAAAUAGGGAGGUUUUUAAGCUGAGGAAGAGAAAAGAAAGGGAACUAAGGAGCACUCCGGGUCCUGGAAGGGGGACCAUCUAUAUUUGGUUGGGAGAGAGAAGUGUCUAAAAUGCUUCUCUGAGAAAAGGGAGUCUCACUACACAAACGGUAAAUUUUCCAUUUAUGGUAAUAUUACAAUGACUCUCUUGAUGGAUGAUUUCUUUCCUAAUUAAGUUUUAAGUUUACAAGUGGUAAAUCCUGUAUAAUUGGCACAUACAGGGUAACAUUUCAGAGAAGGAAAAAUGCCUUUUUCUCUGUCUAUGCACUUUCCCAUAAGAUUUUUAACAUUGUUGGGAAAGUUGUGUUCUUAUGGCUGAUAAAUGGCAUUAUGAGUCUAGAUGUAAACGAAUGACAGAAUGUGUUUUGGAUCCUGAGAACAUUUCUCUUGACUAGAAAAUGUUAUUGUAUAUGGUAUAUUAGAUUGUAAACUGCCUUGAUGAUUGCAUUUAAUUCUCAGACUGGCCAGCUUACAGUUGCUAAGAGCAUAGACUCUAGAGCCCCGAUGCCUGGGUUCAAAGCCCAGCUUUGCCACUCACUAGCUGUUUUCUCUGAGCAAGUCACUCAUCUCCUCUGGGUCCCAGUUGGUGCUUCUAUCACCUAGGGAUAAUAAUAGCACCUGCCUUGUAGAGCCGCAUGAGGAUUCAACGAGUUAAUACAUGUGAAGCACUUAAAAGAGCACUUCGCAUAUAAUAAGCCCUCAAACAACGUCACCUAUAAUUACUUUAUCUUACAGCACUAAGUUUCAUGGAAGGGUCUGGCACUGCGGUAUUAUAUGUCUUAAAGGUUACAUAAAUGGCAGUACAUAUGUAAGACAGAAGAUGAUGCCUCCAUUUAAAAUUGCGGUAACAAUUCUUAAAGCCAUGGAAAAAUGCUACUUAAGGGGAAAAGUCGGCAAUAGAAUGGUAGCUAUCAUUUUGAGGUAGUAGGAUCUCAAGCAUGGUAAGAAAACGUGCAGCACGAACGGCUGGGAGAGAAACGUGCUGCUAUGGUAACACUGGCCACUGCUGGACGGUAUGAUUGCGCAUGAGUGGUGUGUCUGCUCUUAAUUAUUUUCUAUAACUUCCAACUUUCUACGUUACCACGUAAUCAGCAAAUAAUCAAAAUAAUUAAUGAGGAGACCAAGAAGAAGAAGACUUCCCCAGGCGGACUUGUUGGAGGAGAGUCACCCAGCGCGGGAGGCGCUGAGGGGGCUGGACCUUCCCCAGGGAAGACUCCCCAGCCUGCAGCUCCUGGAAAAGAGGUCCGGGGGCCUUUCACUGGGACCGAACAGAACACAGACAGCUCCACCAGGAAGGGGGGAGGGACUUCCGUUUUUCUCAAAUGACCUGUGGGAACAAGGGAGGGGAGCUCACUUUUCUUCUGCUAGAACUAACCAUUGCCUGAUCUCGCAGGGGCUGUGCUGCUCUGUCUAUAUUCUUGCUAGCAUCUGCCACAUUUGUUACAAACUUACCUGGGAAGCUUGGCUGAACAAUGUAGCUGGGCAUAGGCUGAGAUUAAAAAGUAAACUUUUGUUUUGGCCUUUUGUAUAGCCUGGCUUUGGGGUCAAUUUAGUUAAAAUGAUGUCCUGAUGCAUCCCUGGCGACAUUGAAGGGGUAGAUAUUGACGGAAGGCUCUGGGGGGCCCGAGUGCCAUUUUUGUGUGUUCCGGAUGCUCUAGCAGGAGCUUUGGGAACUUUUGGAGAAGCACUUUCACAAAGAUGCAGGAGGGACUUUUCCAAUGUCCACUCUUCUUCCUGCCCUGAGGGGUCCAGCUACACUCUGAUCUCCCUUGAAGGGGACAGUUGUACCCCUGAUUGGCCACAUAUCUCACUGUAAAACCUCGGGCUUUAACCGAAAGAGGUACUGCAUGUGUGUGAGUUGGAGGAGUGGCCACAUAGCCUCACAACCCAUCGACAGGGAGGGGCUCUCUGAUAUGCAUCAAGGUUAGAAUAUGGGAAAUGAAUGACUUCUGGUGGGGCGGGGCUUUGGCAGGACAAGAACAAAGGGGUCUGUGCUUUCUUUCUCCCAGGUGAGUUCUCUCCUCCACUGUCUCCCACAUGAGUAGUAAGUAAACUCAAUGCAAGAGAGCUAAGCAGGGCAACGGGAAGAAGUGAAGAAAGGAAAUCACGAGAGACUGUGCUCAGUUCUUGGUCUGGUCCAAGUUUAAAGCUAAAAGAGAAGGGAAUAGGGGUCUGAGGUUACUUCAUUGUUCAGCUCAGCUCAUUAGGAUAAGAUAGUCGAAAUGGAUUCGAAAAGGAAGCCUAUAACUAUGAAUAAAGACUGUGUUUGCCUAAUGUAUUUCCUGUGUCACAUUAGUCUUGGGAAACUUCAAGUACAACAGCAG
This is a long non-coding RNA of Equus caballus (horse), 4779 nucleotides long. The record is from Ensembl. Lineage: Eukaryota; Metazoa; Chordata; Mammalia; Perissodactyla; Equidae.